Molecule: ribosomal RNA, 253 nt
Filed under: uncultured bacterium
Lineage: Bacteria
Description: partial 16S ribosomal RNA
Rfam family: Bacterial small subunit ribosomal RNA
Source: RNAcentral
UACGAGGGGAGCAAGUGUUGUUCGGAUUUAUUGGGCGUAAAGGGAGUGUAGGCGGGCAUCUAAGUCAGAGGUGUAAUUCCAGGGCUCAACCCUGGGCUUGCCUUUGAGACUGGAUGUCUUGAGUAUGGAAGAGGGCGAUGGAAUUCCUGGUGUAGCGGUGGAAUGCGUAGAUAUCAGGAGGAACACCAAUAGCGAAGGCAGUCGCCUGGGACAAUACUGACGCUGAAACUCGAAAGCAUGGGGAGCAAACAGG